GCGGGAAUAGCUCAGUUGGUAGAGCACAACCUUGCCAAGGUUGGGGUCGCGAGUUCGAAUCUCGUUUCCCGCU
Non-coding RNA from Marinobacter santoriniensis NKSG1, 73 nucleotides. Lineage: Bacteria; Pseudomonadati; Pseudomonadota; Gammaproteobacteria; Pseudomonadales; Marinobacteraceae. The record is from Rfam.